ACGUAGGUCACAAGCGUUGUCCGGAAUUACUGGGUGUAAAGGGAGCGCAGGCGGGCGAUCAAGUUGGAAGUGAAAUCCAUGGGCUCAACCCAUGAACUGCUUUCAAAACUGAUUGUCUUGAGUAGUGCAGAGGUAGGCGGAAUUCCCGGUGUAGCGGUGGAAUGCGUAGAUAUCGGGAGGAACACCAGUGGCGAAGGCGGCCUACUGGGCACCAACUGACGCUGAGGCUCGAAAGUGUGGGUAGCAAACAG
Molecule: ribosomal RNA, 251 nt
Filed under: uncultured bacterium
Lineage: Bacteria
Description: partial 16S ribosomal RNA
Rfam family: Bacterial small subunit ribosomal RNA
Source: RNAcentral